Long non-coding RNA from Aptenodytes forsteri (emperor penguin), 217 nucleotides. RefSeq lists it as uncharacterized. The transcript has 2 exons. NCBI's taxonomy places the organism in Eukaryota, Metazoa, Chordata, Aves, Sphenisciformes, Spheniscidae. The record is from RefSeq and is a predicted model, not a curated record.
CCCCCGCCCCUUCGGCCUGGACGGACGAGGAGCUCGGCAUCCCUCCGGACGACGCGGAAUAGGCGCCUCCGGCCGCGGCGAUCCCGGCAGCACACCGGUCCCUGGAACUAAAGAGGUCCCUGGAACUAAAGAGGUCCCUGGAACUAAAGAGGUCCCUGGAACUAAAGCUUUGGCUCCUUGGUCAUUAUUUCAAUAAAAGUUAGCUGUAAACAACCUC